This 253-nucleotide ribosomal RNA is filed under the name uncultured bacterium. Its description in RNAcentral is "partial 16S ribosomal RNA". It matches the Rfam family "Bacterial small subunit ribosomal RNA", at positions 524 to 776 of the family's 1533-position model. The record is from RNAcentral.
UACGGGGGGGGCAAGCGUUGUUCGGAAUUACUGGGCGUAAAGGGCUCGUAGGUGGCCAACUAAGUCAGACGUGAAAUCCCUCAGCUUAACUGGGGAACUGCGUCUGAUACUGGAUGGCUUGAGUUUGGGAGAGGGAUGCGGAAUUCCUGGUGUAGCGGUGAAAUGCGCAGAUAUCGGGAGGAACACCGGUGGCGAAGGCGGUUCUCUGGGCCUUACCUGACGCUGAGGAGCGAAAGCGUGGGGAGCGAACAGG